AAUGGGUCAGCGACUUAUAUUCUGUAGCAAGGUUAACCGUAUAGGGGAGCCGUAGGGAAACCGAGUCUUAACUGGGCGAAUAAGUUGCAGGGUAUAGACCCGAAACCCGGUGAUCUAGCCAUGGGCAGGUUGAAGGUUGGGUAACACUAACUGGAGGACCGAACCGACUAAUGUUGAAAAAUUAGCGGAUGACUUGUGGCUGGGGGUGAAAGGCCAAUCAAACCGGGAGAUAGCUGGUUCUCCCCGAAAGCUAUUUAGGUAGCGCCUCGUGAACUCAUCUUCGGGGGUAGAGCACUGUUUCGACUAGGGGGUCAUCCCGACUUACCAACUCGAUGCAAACUACGAAUACCGAAGAAUGUUAUCACGGGAGACACACGGCGGGUGCUAACGUUCGUCGUGAAGAGGGAAACAACCCAGACCGCCAGCUAAGGUCCCAAAGUCAUAGUUAAGUGGGAAACGAAGUGGGAAGGCUCAGACAGCCAGGAUGUUGGCUUAGAAGCAGCCAUCAUUUAAAGAAAGCGUAAUAGCUCACUGGUCGAGUCGGCCUGCGCGGAAGAUGUAACGGGGCUAAACUAUGCACCGAAGCUGCGGCAGCGAUAUGUAAAUAUUGUUGGGUAGGGGAGCGUUCUGUAAGCCUGUGAAGGUGUACUGUGAGGUAUGCUGGAGGUAUCAGAAGUGCGAAUGCUGACAUAAGUAACGAUAAUGCGGGUGAAAAACCCGCACGCCGGAAGACCAAGGGUUCCUGUCCAACGUUAAUCGGGGCAGGGUGAGUCGACCCCUAAGGCGAGGCAGAAAUGCGUAGUCGAUGGGAAACGGGUUAAUAUUCCCGUACUGGUGAUAAUUGCGAUGGGGGGACGGAGAAGGCUAGGCUAUCCGGGCGACGGUUGUCCCGGUUUAAGGAUGUAGGCAGGUGAAUUAGGCAAAUCCGGUUCACUAUAUGCUGAGGUCCGAUGACGAGUCACUACGGUGAUGAAGUAGCUCAUGCCCCGCUUCCAGGAAAAGCCUCUAAGCUCUAGAUUAUCAUUAAUCGUACCCCAAACCGACACAGGUGGUCAGGUAGAGAAUACUCAGGCGCUUGAGAGAACUCGGGUGAAGGAACUAGGCAAAAUGGUGCCGUAACUUCGGGAGAAGGCACG
Molecule: ribosomal RNA, 1136 nt
Filed under: Providencia rettgeri
Lineage: Bacteria; Pseudomonadati; Pseudomonadota; Gammaproteobacteria; Enterobacterales; Morganellaceae
Description: partial 23S ribosomal RNA
Rfam family: Bacterial large subunit ribosomal RNA
Source: RNAcentral